GCCCUGGCAGUCAGAGGCGAUGAAGGACGUGCUAAUCUGCGAUAAGCGUCGGUAAGGUGAUAUGAACCGUUAUAACCGGCGAUUUCCGAAUGGGGAAACCCAGUGUGAUUCGUCACACUAUCAUUAACUGAAUCCAUAGGUUAAUGAGGCGAACCGGGGGAACUGAAACAUCUAAGUACCCCGAGGAAAAGAAAUCAACCGAGAUUCCCCCAG
RNAcentral lists this ribosomal RNA (213 nucleotides) under Escherichia coli. Its description in RNAcentral is "partial 23S ribosomal RNA". It matches the Rfam family "Bacterial large subunit ribosomal RNA", at positions 31 to 243 of the family's 2925-position model. The record is from RNAcentral. Lineage: Bacteria; Pseudomonadati; Pseudomonadota; Gammaproteobacteria; Enterobacterales; Enterobacteriaceae.